Molecule: long non-coding RNA, 335 nt
Organism: Mytilus trossulus (common blue mussel)
Lineage: Eukaryota; Metazoa; Mollusca; Bivalvia; Mytilida; Mytilidae
Exons: 4
Source: RefSeq, a predicted model, not a curated record
GUUAAAAGUCAUGUGCGUCGUAGUUGAGUAUAAAAUCUGAAAACAGCUGAUAAUUGCAUACAGUAAUAGUUACAAUUGUUAAUUUUCUAGCAAAGAAUAAAAGGCCAAAUGCAGGUUUCUCGUUGCGUCGUGUUAUCCCUGUUGUUGGUGUUCGUUGGAGUAAACACGGCCAACGUUGAAGCGUAUGAAGACAAUGGAUUUAUUCAAAAGCUAGGAAAAAGAAGUACAGCAGCAUGUGGGAUGAUGUCUUGUUCAAAUGAUUUUCACUGCUGUCAUGGUUUUACUUGCUCCUAUAGAAAAUGCAUGUAUACACAAGAAAGAGACAAGACCCUGAC